GGCGGGCAGUGGCGCGGUGGUACGCACGGACAAGGGCGCCGUGCGCGGAACGGUGGGCGAGCAGGUGCGGACGUUCGGGAACAUCCCGUUCGCCGC
RNAcentral lists this transfer RNA (96 nucleotides) under Lentzea cavernae. RNAcentral's name for it is "tRNA-Pro". Lineage: Bacteria; Bacillati; Actinomycetota; Actinomycetes; Pseudonocardiales; Pseudonocardiaceae. The record is from RNAcentral.